This 327-nucleotide ribosomal RNA is filed under the name uncultured eukaryote. Its description in RNAcentral is "partial 18S ribosomal RNA". It matches the Rfam family "Eukaryotic small subunit ribosomal RNA", at positions 1470 to 1796 of the family's 1831-position model. The record is from RNAcentral.
CCCUUAGAUGUUCUGGGCCGCACGCGCGCUACACUGACGAAUGCAACGAGCUUAUAACCUUGGCCGAAAGGUCUGGGUAAUCUCCAAAUUUCGUCGUGAUGGGGAUAGAUUAUUGCAAUUAUUAAUCUUCAACGAGGAAUGCCUAGUAAGCGCAAGUCAUCAGCUUGCGUUGACUACGUCCCUGCCCUUUGUACACACCGCCCGUCGCUCCUACCGAUUGAAUGGUCCGGUGAAGCGUUCGGACCGUGGCCUUUGGACGGUUCGCCGUCUGUUGGCUGCGGGAAGUUCGUUAAACCUUAUCAUUUAGAGGAAGGAGAANUCGUAACA